RNAcentral lists this ribosomal RNA (497 nucleotides) under uncultured bacterium. Its description in RNAcentral is "partial 16S ribosomal RNA". It matches the Rfam family "Bacterial small subunit ribosomal RNA", at positions 28 to 507 of the family's 1533-position model. The record is from RNAcentral.
GAUGAACGCUGGCGGCGUGCCUAAUACAUGCAAGUCGAGCGGAAGGACGAGAAGCUUGUUUCUCUGAUGUUAGCGGCGGACGGGUAAGUAACGAGUAGAUAACCAACGAAUUAGACUCAGAUAACUUAGAGACCCCGGAGAUAGUACCGGAUAAUAUUUUGAACCGCAUGGUUCAAACGUGGAUGGCGGACUUGCUGCCAGUGGUAGAUGGUUCCGCGCUGGAUUAGCUGGUUGUUGAGGUAACGGCUUACUACGACAACGAUGACUAGCCGACCUGAGGGUGUGAGCGUGCACACUGGAACUGAGACACGGUCCAGGCUCCUACGGGAGGCAGCAGUAGGGGUUCGUCCGCUUGGGGCGAAGGCCUAACGGUGCAACGGCGCGUGAGUGAUGAAGAUCUUCGGAUCGUAAUUCUCUGUUACUAGGGAACAACAUAUGUCUAAGUAACUGUGCGCGUCGUGACGGUACUGAAACAGAAAGCCCCGGCUAACUACGUG